This 19-nucleotide small nuclear RNA is filed under the name Arabidopsis thaliana (thale cress). Its description in RNAcentral is "snRNA_15400". The record is from RNAcentral. Lineage: Eukaryota; Viridiplantae; Streptophyta; Magnoliopsida; Brassicales; Brassicaceae.
GCCGUUGCUCUCAUGGCGG